RNAcentral lists this unclassified non-coding RNA (699 nucleotides) under Hevea brasiliensis (rubber tree). Lineage: Eukaryota; Viridiplantae; Streptophyta; Magnoliopsida; Malpighiales; Euphorbiaceae. The record is from RNAcentral.
GUUUUCCACAGAUUACAUCAACUACCAGUACCAAAUCUAAACCCAACAAUACUCCAGAAUUCACAAUUUUAACCAACUAGCACCAUUAAACCAAGUCUCCAUACAAAUUAAACGACCACAAUUCAUCAUAUCCAACACAACCAACAACUCAUAACAGAAACAGAACACAACCACAGAUACACCUACACAUAACUAAGACACCCAACUAGAUCCACCCACCAAAGUUCACUCCUUCGCAGAUUUGUUGAUCAGAGACUUAUGGAUGUGCGGAAUCACACCACCCCCAGCAAUAGUCCCCUUGAUCAGCGUAUCCAGCUCCUCAUCCCCACGGAUCGCCAGCUGCAGAUGCCUUGGCGUUAUGCGCUUCACCUUCAGAUCCUUACUCGCGUUCCCCGCCAGCUCCAGCACCUCAGCCGUCAGGUACUCCAGAAUCGCCGCCGAGUACACCGCCGCCGUCGCACCCACGCGGCCGUUGGCCGCAAUCCGCGACUUUAACUGCCUGUGGAUCCUCCCCACCGGAAACUGGAGCCCAGCGCGGGAGGAGCGGGAGGUGGGGCGCUUCUUGUCCUUGUCCUUGGCGGCGGAGGUGGUCUUGCCGGCGAUCAGUCCCUUGCCGCCCUUCCCGGCCAUUUUCUCUCUCUAGAUUCCUUUGGGGGAUUUGGGGGCGGAGGAGAGAGAGAGAGAGGGGAUAGAUUGGGG